CGUUCUCACGGUCUCAGUGAGGAAGACAGCACAGGGAAUGAAUGGGGCACUGAUCUCACCAUGAUCGCCUGCAGGAGUCUCGCCCAGGCUAUGGUGGUAGUGUCCCUGGGUGCCACAUAGCUCGGAGAGCAAGGUUGCUGCCACACCUUACUGCCCUCCAUGGAGGAACACCUUUUCUCUUUGGUGAGUAUACAGAGGGAAGGGCCUUGACUCUAAAGACUUGGGGAGCAAAGUUAAAGAGCUUUCAAGCUAGUUCUUUCAUUCCCCUUAGAGCCACAGAAUGCCAUGUGGCACCAAGGUCCUUGUUCUCACAGGUGAGCACCAAGGUGAAACCAGGAAUAUUAAGCACGCAGGGUUGUCUCUCCAAAGGGAGAGAUGUAUAACUGUUUUCCACCCAGAAGGCUGGGAGUGGAGGUGUUUAAUAUUCUGCUGACCUUUGUGCUAUCUGUAUGACCAAGACCAUGCCAGAUCCUCCCCCAGAUCCUUAUGUAAUCAAUCAGCGGUGUGGUGGUGAUUCAUGCUUUUAAUUCCAGCUUUUGUAUGGCAGAGGCAGAUGGAUCUCUGAGUUUGAGGCUAGCCUGGUCUACAGAGUGAGUCCAGGAUAGUCAGAGCUACACAGAGAAACUUCCUGUCUUGAAAAACCAAAAACAAAUAAAUAAAAUUUUAAAAAAACUGUCUCGUGUAGUCAAUCUAUAAAACCCAUCUUUAUGUUGAUGCCACGUGUACUUUUUUGUAUUAUUUAUCACCAGAAAAUUGUUUCACCAAAUUAUGCUGUGCUUAAAUAUGCCUAAAAUAAACUACCUGGUGUCAGACUCUUGAAGUUUGAACCAACAAUUUGCCGGGCGAUGGUGGCGCUCGCCUUUAAUCCCAGCACUUUGGGAGGCAGAGACAGGUGGAUCUUUGAGUUAGAGGCCAGCCUGGUCUACAGAGUGAGUCCAGGAUAGCCAGGAUUACACAGAGAAACCCUGUCUCAAAAAUAAAAUAAAAUAAAAUAAAAUAAAAUAAAAUAAAAGUUUGAACCAACACUGGCUAUUGAGUCAUGUUGAACUAGACUUUUGCCUCAUAUGGAUCAUUACCCUCAUGGCGGUGGUGGCAUUAGCAUGGCCUGGCUACCAACGUGGAACUCAUCAGUGGUGGUGUGUACACAGCUGGAGACCAACUCAAUUCUUGGAGAAGGUAAGAUUUUUCUUUUAAUAGAAUAAGGGCUAGGAGUUUCAGCCUCUCACCCAAGAAGUCACAACUGUAAGUAAGAUAGUAAAAUAAGCUUGGAUUCUUCUCAGUCCUCUGAGACAAAGCAUUUGAUACAAUUAUUGAGAUGUUUGUUAAGAUCCGAAGGAACAAGAUAUGCAGAGCAAUAGCUCUGCAGCUUGGUACAAGUAUCUAUAAAAUUCAGUCCUUGGCUUUUUGAACAAUGAACUAUUGAUGUUGAACAUUGGAAAUAAAGCCAGGUGGUGGUGGUGGUCUACAGAGAAAAAAAAAAAAACCAAAAAGAAAAUUGGAAAUGGAGAGGAGCUAAUGCAAAAAGGGCUCAUGAAAGAGAAGAUAAAAUUCCCGUCAAUUAUUUUGCAAGCUGUGGUCAGUAAUAUAUUGCCCUCAGGAGGAUCAUUGAGAAAAGAAUUUUUGUUUUUUCUGCAGGCCAUGUGGAUUCUACUACAACUCUGGUUUCCUGGAGGUAACCCAAACAGGCUCAAUCAUGGCAUGCGCAAUCUGAUGGAACAGGCAUGCAUCCAUCUAGUGAUAUACUCACAGUCUUAGCAAAAUAAGGAAUUUUAUCUUGUCUUUCCAUUGAAAAAUGGAGACUUUCUCACUUCAGGCCUUUUAGGCACUGAGAGACCAAAUACCACCCAGAUUCCUUUGUAUUUAUGACUACUAAAAUUUCACUUUUUAAAUUUGUGUUUUGGACAACAGAACAAAAAAUUAAAAAUAGCAAUGUGAACACCCUUAAUGUGGAUUUAAAGUGAGAAAACAGGGCAAAUUGGAAUCAGGAAAAUGUCUUAGAAUAUUUCUUCUGGAUAAUAUGGUGGCCAAGGACUGAAAACAUCAUCUCAUGUUUCUCAAAUUUCCCUGGAGGGCAGAAGGGGUUAAACCAGGAAUGCAAACAAUCUGAGUUACAUUGUUUUUUGAGUUUUCACCUAAAAUUCUUUUUGGUGCAGACUGAGAAUCUGAAAUGUGGUAAGAACUAGAGCAUUCUGGGAAGUUCUUCCACCGUGGAACUGGUGGUCUUUGAUGUUGCUCACAUUUUAGCUAGAUAUGUACGUUCAUGCUUACAUGGGAAAAAUCCAAUUGUUUUCUCUUUCAGAAUUUUCUGUAAUUGUUUCUCAGGUACUUCUGAAUAUCCUAUAGGGGCAGUCUUCUCCAACACAAUAUUAAAAUUUGCCUAAAAAAUUUAAAGAUCCCAAAUCUUACAUAAAUAGCCUUAGGUUCAAAUCUUUAAAAGUUAAUGGUCAUUGUGAAUUAAGUAAGUUCUACAUCUGUUUUAGUUUUGUGCUUGCCCUUGGUCUGACAUAAAUGAUCAGACUCUUGAGCAGGGAGGAAGUUAGAGGAGGCUCAUGAGAGCCUAUCCUCUAUUGAAGGCUUAGUUUACACAGAAUUCUAGUGCAAAAUUGUAGCAAGUGGUUCUCAUAUCAGCUUGACAUCUAGAGCUAUGGCUGUCUGUGUCUAGGGCCUUCUCCACAGUCAGGUGUGCAGAGACCACCAAAGACAUGCACAGUACCUCUCCCUAGUCACCUUCAGAGCACAGUCUCAGACAGGACAUGGGGCCCUGGGAGGCUCCAGGAAAAUGCCAUUGUGUUAUAUCUAGAAUUUGAUUUUGUCAAAUAGGUCUUUAUACAUUUCCUUUCUAGGACUGCCAUUACAACUAAAAACUGAUAAUAGACAUGCUUAUACUAGCAAACACUUUAAAUUUUUACAAUUUAUGGAAUAGUAAUCACAUUACUGAAAUCCCUUAUAAUUGACAGAGUCAAACUAUUGUAAAACAACACCAUCAAAUACUGAUACACAAAUUUAAAUCCCCAUGAACUAUGCUACAUUUAGCUAAACUAACUUUAAUUUUUUUCACUUUAAAAGGUAAUGCUUUUUUUUAAAAAAGGUAUUUUUCCCUAAAGAAGAUACAACCUAAAGUAUAUGUUUUAAAAAAAUGUAAAAACUAAUCAAUAGAAAGGGCCCGAUGGUCUAACAUCGAGGCAAGGUUAUGCUUAUAUCUUACAGAAAAGCAAUGAAGUCCCAGAUGGCUCCUGCCCUGACACAUCCAACAAGGACAGCAUCCCAGAGACCACCAGACAAACAAAGUGUCUAAAGAUAGACGACAGAUCCAUCAAAAGGAGAUGUCCCAAGAGGAAGAGUAAGCUGAUAAGUUGGGGAGACAUCAAGACUUUAACUUGCAAGCCAAGACUUUGAGGAAACAACAAGGACAUACUGUUACUGAUCUCAAAAAUUAUGCUAUUAUGUAAACUGACUAUAUUUCAUGUUAAUGCUCAGCUUGUCACUGCAGAAUCCAAAUGUGUUUUGCCAGGGGAAAGAAAAGGCACACUUGUAAUAGGAGAGUAUGAUGUUGUUCUACCACGAUAAAAAACGGUUUUAAUCCUUUGGGACCAUUUGUCUAGACAAAAUAUAGUAUACAAAUAACUUAGUUGCACAAAUGGGAGAUAUUUUGGUUGGACUAAUCUAACUGAUCAAUCCAAAUGUAAUAAUACAAAUUUUAGCAUAAUUAGGUACUCUUUAGAAGGCUCUAAUAGUAGAAAUUAUAAUUGUAUGAAGAUGAAAAAGGAUUUCUGAUGUAUUGGUUACUAAAGUUGAACCA
Molecule: long non-coding RNA, 3799 nt
Organism: Phodopus roborovskii (desert hamster)
Lineage: Eukaryota; Metazoa; Chordata; Mammalia; Rodentia; Cricetidae
Exons: 2
Source: RefSeq, a predicted model, not a curated record